UCCGGUUGAUCCUGCCGGAGGCCAUUGCUAUCGGAGUCCGACUUAGCCAUGCUAGUCGUACGGGUUUAGACCCGUGGCAUAUAGCUCAGUAACACGUGGCCAAACUACCCUACAGACCACCAUACCCUCGGGAAACUGAGGCUAAUAGUGGAUACGGCUCUCACGCUGGAACAGCAGAGAGCCGGAAACGCUCCGGCGCUGUAGGAUGUGGCUGCGGCCGAUUAGGUAGACGGUGGGGUAACGGCCCACCGUGCCGAUAAUCGGUACAGGUUGUGAGAGCAAGAGCCUGGAGACGGAAUCUGAGACAAGAUUCCGGGCCCUACGGGGCGCAGCAGGCGCGAAACCUUUACACUGCACGCCAGUGCGAUAGGGGGACUCCGAGUGCGAGGGCAUAUCGCCCUCGCUUUUCUGUACCGUAAGGUGGUACAGGAAUAAGGACUGGGCAAGACCGGUGCCAGCCGCCGCGGUAAUACCGGCAGUCCAAGUGAUGGCCGAUAUUAUUGGGCCUAAAGCGUCCGUAGCUGGCCGAGCAAGUCUGUCGGGAAAUCCAGUAGCUCAACUACUGGACGUCCGGUGGAAACUGCUCGGCUUGGGACCGGAAGACUCGAGGGGUACGUCCGGGGUAGGAGUGAAAUCCUAUAAUCCUGGACGGACCACCAAUGGCGAAAGCACCUCGAGAAGACGGAUCCGACAGUGAGGGACGAAAGCUAGGGUCUCGAACCGGAUUAGAUACCCGGGUAGUCCUAGCUGUAAACGAUGCUCGCUAGGUAUGACACAGGCUACGAGCCUGUGUUAUGCCGAAGUGAAGACGAUAAGCGAGCCGCCUGGGAAGUACGUCCGCAAGGAUGAAACUUAA
RNAcentral lists this ribosomal RNA (856 nucleotides) under uncultured Halomicrobium sp. RNAcentral describes it as "bacterial SSU rRNA". It matches the Rfam family "Archaeal small subunit ribosomal RNA", at positions 1 to 859 of the family's 1478-position model. The record is from RNAcentral. Lineage: Archaea; Methanobacteriati; Methanobacteriota; Halobacteria; Halobacteriales; Haloarculaceae.